RNAcentral lists this unclassified non-coding RNA (4125 nucleotides) under Hevea brasiliensis (rubber tree). The record is from RNAcentral. Lineage: Eukaryota; Viridiplantae; Streptophyta; Magnoliopsida; Malpighiales; Euphorbiaceae.
UUCUUAUCCUCGAAAUGGGUGCAGACAGAACACCAGGGAAGUUGAAGUGAAGGGAAGCUAAAGAACUCGGCAAUGGUGACGGAAUUGGGGGACGAGUUCAUGGCCGCCGAGCCCGACUCAGGCCGAGCUGCUGGAUCUUCCAGAGCUCCGAGGCUUUUCAUUAAAGAAAUGGUUAUGAGGAAUUUCAAAUCUUACGCUGGCGAACAACGCGUUGGUCCUUUCCACAAGAGUUUUUCUGCAGUGGUGGGGCCUAACGGGAGUGGCAAGAGCAAUGUAAUAGACGCUAUGUUAUUUGUCUUUGGAAAGCGAGCGAAGCAGAUGAGACUUAACAAGGUUUCCGAGCUUAUCCACAAUUCCACUAAUUACCAGAAUCUAGACAGUGCAGGUGUUUCUGUUCAUUUUCAGGAGAUAAUUGACCUGGAUGAUGGCAACUAUGAUGCUGUUCCAGGAAGUGAUUUUGUAAUCACCAGGGUGGCAUUUCGAGAUAACUCAUCUAAGUAUUACAUAAAUGAUCGUGUGAGUAAUUUCACCGAGGUCACCAAAAAACUGAAAGGGAAGGGGAUUGACCUGGACAAUAACCGAUUUCUGAUUCUUCAGGGUGAAGUUGAGCAGAUUUCAUUGAUGAAGCCCAAAGCUCAAGGACCCCAUGAUGAAGGUUUUCUUGAAUAUCUGGAAGACAUAAUUGGGACUGACAAAUAUGUUGAAAAGAUUGAAGAAUCGUAUAAGGAGUUGGAAUCCCUUAAUGAGAAAAGGUCUGGGGUGGUGCAGAUGGUUAAGUUAGCUGAGAAAGAAAGAGACAGCUUGGAGGAUGUGAAGAAUGAAGCGGAGGCAUAUAUGCUAAAAGAGUUAUCACUCCUGAAAUGGCAAGAGAAAGCCACGAAAUUAGCUUAUGAGGAUAAUGGUGCAAAGAUGAUUGAAAUGCAGACAAAUGUUUCUAGCUUAGAAGAAAGUUUAAAGGCUGAAAGAGAGAAGAUUCAAGAAAGUCAUAAAACACUGAAGGAGAUUGAGACUAUCCACAAGAAGUAUAUCAAAAGACAAGAGGAACUUGGCAAUGAUCUCAUAACAUGUAAAGAGGAGUUUAAGGAGUUUGAAAGGCAGGAUGUUAAAUAUCGAGAGGAUUUGAAGCACAAGAAGCAAAAGAUCAAGAAACUUGAAGAUAAACUCAAUAAGGACUCAUCAAAGAUUGAGCACUUAACAAAGGAGUGUGAGGACUCGACAAAUUUGAUUCCACAACUUGAGGAUGACAUUCCAAAGCUGCAAAGAAUUUUGUUGGAUGAGGAGAGAGUGUUGGAGGAUAUUGUAGAGAAUUCAAAAGUUGAAACAGAAGGAUAUCGCUCUGAGCUUGUGAAGGUUCGCGCUGAAUUAGAGCCGUGGGAAAAACAACUAAUCGAUCACAAGGGCAAACUUGAAGUUGCAUGUACUGAAAGCAAGCUUUUGAGUGAGAAGCAUGAGGCUAGUCGUGCAGCUUUUGAAGAUGCACACAAGCAGAUGGAUGACAUAUUGAGAAGAAUAGAAACAAAAACUACAAGCAUUUCCAAACUUCAGAGUGAUGUAGAAAAGCACAAAUUUGAAGCAUCAGAAGCUCGUAAAGUGGAACAAGAGUGCAUCAAAGAACAAGAAGCAUUGAUUCCACUAGAACAAGCUGCAAGACAAAAGGUUGCAGAACUUAAAUCAAUUCUUGAUUCUGAGAAAAGUCAGGGUUCAGUUAUGAAAGCAAUUUUGCAGGCCAAGGAAUCUAAUAAAAUUGAGGGAAUAUACGGUCGGAUGGGAGAUUUAGGAGCAAUUGAUGCAAAAUAUGAUGUUGCCAUAUCAACAGCUUGUCCUGGACUUGAUUAUAUUGUGGUGGAGACGACUGCUGCAGCCCAAGCAUGUGUUGAGCUGCUCCGAAGGGAGAAUCUUGGGGUUGCAACCUUCAUGAUAUUGGAGAAGCAAGUUGAUCUCUUACCAAAGAUGAAGGCUAAAGUGCGCACUCCAGAGGGAGUUUCACGUCUUUUUGAUCUAGUUAGAGUUGAGAAUGAAAGAAUGAAGCUUGCAUUUUUUGCAGCUUUGGGUAACACUGUUGUAGCAAAUGAUCUAGAUCAGGCAACACGAAUUGCAUAUGGUGGCACUUUAGAGUUUCGCCGUGUGGUUACUCUUGAUGGUGCACUUUUUGAAAAAUCUGGUACUAUGAGUGGUGGGGGAAGCAAGCCACGUGGUGGUAAAAUGGGCACGUCUAUUCGAGCUACCAGUGUUUCUACAGAAGCUGUUGCCAAUGCUGAGAAGGAGCUCUCUACUAUGGUUGAUAAAUUGAAUGGCAUCCGCCAGAGGAUAGUUGAUGCAGUAAGGAGUUACCAAGCCUCAGAAAAAGCAAUUGCACACCUGGAGAUGGAAUUGGCCAAAAGUCAGAAGGAGAUUGGCAGUUUAAAUUCAGAGCAUGGAUAUCUUGAAAAACAACUUGGUUCACUAGAGGCUGCAUCACAGCCAAGGAAGGAUGAGCUUGACAGGCUGGAUGAGCUGAAGAAAACCAUAUCUACAGAGGAAAAGGAGAUUGAUAGACUUAUGAAAGGGUCUAAAAAGCUGAAGGAUAAGGCAUUGGAACUUCAGAGUAAAAUAGAAAAUGCUGGUGGUGAAACAUUGAAAGCACAGAAGUCAAAGGUCAACAAGAUUCAGUCUGAUAUUGAUAAAACUAGCUCAGAGAUUAACCGUCACAAGGUUCAAAUAGAGACAAAUCAGAAAAUGAUGAAGAAGUUAACAAAGGGGCUUGAGGACUCGAAGAAGGAAAAGGAUCGACUUGUUGAGGAGAAGGAAAAAAUGAGAAGUGUUUUCAAAGAAAUAGAAGAAAAGGCGUUUGCAGUUCAGGAGAAUUAUAACAAGACACAAAAGCUGAUGGAUGAACACAAGGAAGUGUUGGAUAAAGCAAAAUCUGAAUAUGAAAAUGUGAAAAAAUUUGUGGAUGAGCUGCGGGCAUCAGAGGUUGAUGCUGAUUACAAAUUACAAGAUAUGAAGAAGAGCUACAAGGAGUUGGAAUUGAAGGGGAAGGGUUACAAGAAAAAGCUUGAUGACUUGCAAAAUGCUCUCACACACCACAUGGAGCAAAUUCAGAAAGAUCUGGUGGACCCUGGAAAGCUUCAAGCAACCUUGGAAGAUGAGACUCUUGCCAAGGCUUGUGAUCUGAAAAGGGCCCUUGAAAUGGUAGCAUUGCUGGAAGCACAAAUGAAAGAGAUGAACCCAAAUCUAGAUUCUAUCUCAGAAUAUCGGAGAAAGGUUUCAUUGUAUAAUGGGAGAGUUGAUGAACUGAACAUGGUCACUGAACAGCGUAAUGAUGUAAAAAAGCAGCAUGAUGAAUGGCGAAAGAAAAGGUUGGAUGAGUUCAUGGCAGGAUUCAAUACAAUAUCAUUGAAGUUAAAGGAAAUGUAUCAGAUGAUUACACUUGGAGGCGAUGCAGAACUUGAGCUAGUGGAUUCUUUGGAUCCUUUCUCUGAGGGUGUUGUUUUUAGUGUUAGACCGCCAAAGAAGAGUUGGAAAAACAUAGCUAACUUAUCGGGUGGUGAAAAGACUCUCAGCUCAUUGGCUCUUGUUUUUGCACUUCAUCACUACAAGCCUACGCCACUGUAUGUAAUGGAUGAAAUUGAUGCUGCUCUGGAUUUCAAGAAUGUUUCAAUUGUGGGACAUUAUGUUAAGGACCGGACAAAGAAUGCACAAUUUAUUAUCAUAAGCCUUAGGAACAACAUGUUUGAGUUGGCAGAUCGACUUGUUGGAAUCUAUAAAACUGACAACUGCACAAAAAGCAUUACAAUCAACCCAGGCAGUUUUGUGGUGUGUGAAAAAGUCGCUUGAUGUGCGUGUGGAUUUUGGCCAUGUCAAUUGAAAAGUGGUACGAAACAGUAUCAUAUCUGUUGAUUUGCACCUAUAUAUUAGCUUGCAAAUAUCAACUCGAUAUUUAUUUGUAGCAUUCUGAUAAAGUCAAAUCAUACUGUAUCAUUUUGAAAUAUUUAAUGUCCAGUGGUAUGCAGCAAAUUCUAGUGCAUGUUAAUUGGAUAUGAAAUGGCUUUUCCCGGAGCCAUAUAAAAUCUACAUUUUGAUAGUGUUUGUAUAUUGUGGAUUGUGCUAAACAAUUAAUAUAAAUAUCGCAAUCAAGCAUGACUG